UAUUGAUGGAUAAUGGUUUCAAUGAGAUAUUGGUUUUUGGAUGAUUAAAAAGGAUGUUCGAAUAAAUUCAAAAGAUAACUUUAUUGAGUUGUUUUAGGGUUUCUUUUGAAAAAAAUAGAUUUUAAUGAUGAGGUAAAUAUUGGGUUAAAAUAGUUUUUCAAUCAGAAUUGGAUUUCAUAUCGGUUUCCUUAAAAUAAGCUUAGUUUUGACCUUUUUUGCAAAUUUGGGAAUCGCUUUGGCUGUUGCUGUUUUUGGAUGGUAUUUGAUGUUUAGAAGCUUAUUUAGUUUUAUUUGAUUAGUUUUAGGUGGAAGAAUGUUGUUUUAAGUUUUGGAAAGUUUCGGGUUAAAGAACGGUAAAAUUUUUUGUUGUAUCGACGUUCUUGCUCUGUUUUUGUAUAAUAUUUUCUGCUCUAUUUCGAGCACUUUGGUGACAUUCUUUAUGGUUUCUAAGGUGAUAUUUAGGUCUAUGAUGGAGUAAAAUUGGUGUGUUAUUGUUUGGUGUUUGUUUGACGUAAGUUUGAUUGAUUUUGAGUGGUAAAAACGGUAGAGAUGAGUGGAUAUUCAUUCUUUUAUAAAGAGCAUUGGUAAUGUUAAUUGAAGGUUGGUUCGUUAGUGUGGAAGCGUUGUCCGAUGGUGAUCAAAUAAGACUCGACUUUUAUAAGAGUAUGCAAACCAUGUGUUGAUUUGAGACAAUGUGGGAAUGAUAUGUUGGGAUUUUUGUUAAGUUUUGGUGUUGUUAAGUUUGUAAAUAUUAUGGUGAUUAAUUGACCUCUUGAAUUACUUGGUGGUAUGUCAUGAUGAUGAUGUUUUGAGUAUGUGUUAGUUAUUGAUUUCAUAUAGGUAGGAUGUGCAAACGUUGCUAUGAACUUAAAUACGUGUUUGAAUGGCCUGGACAAGUUAAGUUUACAUAAUAUGUUAGUGUCUUAGGAAGCAUGAAAUGAGAGUUUUUGUGUCUUUUGGUUAGGUGACUUAAGAAAAAGUAAGUUGUUUAUGUAAAAUUUGACUUUUAAUGCUAGAUUUCAUUACGAUGUGUUGACCAAUGUUUUGAAGCAUGCUACAAGUGUAUUAUGAUGUGUAUGAAGUGGUUUGAGCUUGUACAUGUAUGUAUUUAGAAACUAUGAGUGAUUAAGUGGAAGUUUACAAACUCAUUUUUGCAUGUUCAUAUGAAAUUUUGUAAUUUCCCAAAAAAAAUGAUCAAUCUCUCACCCCAGAGGAUCGAUCUCAAACAUACUGUAUUGCACAGGAUCGAUCCCUUACAAAACGGAUCGAUCCCUUUUCAAAACGGAUCGAUCCCUUCGCUGCGUGUUUAAGGAAAAA
Hibiscus syriacus is the source of this 1317-nucleotide long non-coding RNA. RefSeq lists it as uncharacterized. The record is from RefSeq and is a predicted model, not a curated record. NCBI's taxonomy places the organism in Eukaryota, Viridiplantae, Streptophyta, Magnoliopsida, Malvales, Malvaceae. The transcript is spliced from 2 exons.